AACAUUUGCAUUCGGUCUCAUUCUUUAUGAGAUGAUUGAAGGAUCUCCUGCAUUUCACCCAAAGCCUCAAGAGGAAGCGGCCAAGAUGAUUUGUUCAGAGGGUUUGAGACCAUUAUUCAAGAAUAAAUCCAAAUCAUAUCCUGAGGGCGUGAAAGAGCUAAUACAAGAGUGCUGGGAUCCAACACCUUCCGGCAGGCCAACGUUCUCAGAUAUAAUUGUACGCCUGAACAAGAUAUCUGCAAGUUGUUCCAAGCAAACUCGCUGGAGAGACAACUUCAAGCUACCAUGGAAACAAGCUGUGCACAAAUGUAUC
This is a long non-coding RNA of Hordeum vulgare subsp. vulgare (domesticated barley), 313 nucleotides long. RefSeq lists it as uncharacterized. The transcript has 4 exons. The record is from RefSeq and is a predicted model, not a curated record. NCBI's taxonomy places the organism in Eukaryota, Viridiplantae, Streptophyta, Magnoliopsida, Poales, Poaceae.